Molecule: ribosomal RNA, 200 nt
Filed under: uncultured bacterium
Lineage: Bacteria
Description: partial 16S ribosomal RNA
Rfam family: Bacterial small subunit ribosomal RNA
Source: RNAcentral
AUUGAACGCUGGCGGCAGGCCUAACACAUGCAAGUCGAGCGGGGUUUUCGGACCUAACGGCGGACGGGUGAGUAAUGCGUAGGAAGCUGCCCGAUAGAGGGGGAUACCAGUUGGAAACGACUGUUAAUACCGCGUAAUGUCUACGGACCAAAGUGUGGGACCUUCGGGCCACAUGCUAUCGGAUGCGCCUACGUGGGAUU